GAAGUGGGGAUGACGUCAAGUCCUCAUGGCCUUUAUGCCUAGGGCUACACACGUGCUACAAUGGGCGGUACAAAGAGAAGCAACCUCGCGAGGGUGAGCAAAUCUCAAAAAGCCGUUCUCAGUUCGGAUUGAAGUCUGCAACUCGACUUCAUGAAGUCGGAAUCGCUAGUAAUCGCGGAUCAGCAUGCCGCGGUGAAUACGUUCCCGGGCCUU
RNAcentral lists this ribosomal RNA (213 nucleotides) under uncultured Syntrophaceae bacterium. RNAcentral's name for it is "partial 16S ribosomal RNA". It matches the Rfam family "Bacterial small subunit ribosomal RNA", at positions 1170 to 1382 of the family's 1533-position model. The record is from RNAcentral. Lineage: Bacteria; Pseudomonadati; Thermodesulfobacteriota; Syntrophia; Syntrophales; Syntrophaceae.